CGCGCUCACACGGGGUGCCCAUUGGGGCUGAGAGGCGGAACGCGCCAACCCGACGAACCUGAUCCGGCUCGUACCGGCGGAGGGAUGGGGAGCGGUCCGCGG
RNAcentral lists this non-coding RNA (102 nucleotides) under Aureimonas sp. Leaf454. RNAcentral describes it as "TPP riboswitch aptamer (THI element)". It matches the Rfam family "TPP riboswitch aptamer (THI element)". From Rfam's summary of the family: Vitamin B(1) in its active form thiamin pyrophosphate (TPP) is an essential coenzyme that is synthesised by coupling of pyrimidine and thiazole moieties in bacteria. The previously detected thiamin-regulatory element, thi box was extended, resulting in a new, highly conserved RNA secondary structure, the THI element, which is widely distributed in eubacteria and also occurs in some archaea. Analysis of operon structures identified a large number of new candidate thiamin-regulated genes, mostly transporters, in various prokaryotic organisms. The record is from Rfam by way of RNAcentral. Lineage: Bacteria; Pseudomonadati; Pseudomonadota; Alphaproteobacteria; Hyphomicrobiales; Aurantimonadaceae. RNAcentral also lists the same sequence under 1 other name.